Molecule: long non-coding RNA, 348 nt
Organism: Sander lucioperca (pikeperch)
Lineage: Eukaryota; Metazoa; Chordata; Actinopteri; Perciformes; Percidae
Exons: 3
Source: RefSeq, a predicted model, not a curated record
AACAUGCUUUAACUAGCAUGCAUUAAGGCAUCAAGAUAAUUUCAAGCUCAGUUAUGAAGACCUGACCUAAAUCAGGUUUGUUGGUGUUACAAAAUACAUCUGUACUGGACAUACUGUGGUAUUCCAGCUUCAUUUAAGCCAGUGGAAACUGUGACCAUGGAUUUAUCUUUUUGUGAAGGUAAAGAAAAGGGAUGGGUUUGACCUCACUCUUGUUAAACUAAGUCAACUUCUACUGAAGCUUUAAAUACAUUCUAUUAUAUGAGUACAACAACUUUAGCCUCUUAGGGACAAACAGGGCGCUGAUUGGUUUACUGUAUCACGUUAUGGGUUUUAACUAAGAUGGCUGUG